Molecule: ribosomal RNA, 497 nt
Filed under: uncultured bacterium
Lineage: Bacteria
Description: partial 16S ribosomal RNA
Rfam family: Bacterial small subunit ribosomal RNA
Source: RNAcentral
GAUGAACGCUGGCGGCGUGCCUAAUACAUGCAAGUCGAGCGAACAGACGAGGAGCUUGCUCCUUUGACGUUAGCGGCGGACGGGUGAGUAACACGUGGGUAACCUACCUAUAAGACUGGGAUAACUUCGGGAAACCGGAGCUAAUACCGGAUAAUAUUUCGAACCGCAUGGUUCGAUAGUGAAAGAUGGCUUUGCUAUCACUUAUAGAUGGACCUGCGCCGUAUUAGCUAGUUGGUAAGGUAACGGCUUACCAAGGCAACGAUACGUAGCCGACCUGAGAGGGUGAUCGGCCACACUGGAACUGAGACACGGUCCAGACUCCUACGGGAGGCAGCAGUAGGGAAUCGUCCGCAAUGGGCGAGAGCCUGACGGAGCAACGCCGCGUGAGUGAUGAAGGUCUUCGGAUCGUAAAACUCUGUUAUUAGGGAAGAACAAACGUGUAAGUAACUGUGCACGUCUUGACGGUACCUAAUCAGAAAGCCACGGCUAACUACGUG